RNAcentral lists this long non-coding RNA (478 nucleotides) under Ananas comosus (pineapple). RNAcentral describes it as "long non-coding RNA (ACOM_LNC032110)". The record is from RNAcentral. Lineage: Eukaryota; Viridiplantae; Streptophyta; Magnoliopsida; Poales; Bromeliaceae.
UUCAACCAUUUGAACUGAAUAAUGUUAAGAACAGUUUUUAAACGGUUAGAGAUAAUAUAUAUUUUAAACAUAAUAAUAUUUUAAUCAUUACAGAUAAUAAAUAUUUUAAAUAUAAUUUUAUAUAUAAAAAUUAAAAAAGUUAAGAUAAGUGGUUUAAAAAAAAAGCAAUAGUUAGCAAUAUCAAUAGGUUAGAUUUGGAACAGGUUUUCAAAAAUUCGAAUCCGAAAUUGAUUAUCAAUCUCAAAAUUCAUAUCUGAAACCCCCGGCGUACUUUAAAAAUUCAUAUCCAAAUUAGAAAACUGAGCAAAAAUUCAAAAUCCAAACCCAAACUGAAAAAUCCAAAUUUGAAAUAAUAAUUUCUCUUUAUCAUAUUUUAAAAUAUAUUAUAUUUAAAUAUUAAUUUUUAAAAUAUAAAUUCAAAUAUUAUAUUAAAAAAGAUAUAUAUACAUUAUAUAAUAUAAAAUUAAUUAGGAUUUGG